GUGAGAUUAGUGUAAAGGUUAACACACUGGUUUGUGAAGCCAAAGAUACGAGUUCGAUUCUCCUAUCUCACC
Molecule: transfer RNA, 72 nt
Filed under: Bacteroidota bacterium
Lineage: Bacteria; Pseudomonadati; Bacteroidota
Description: Bacteroidetes bacterium (soil metagenome) tRNA-His
Rfam family: tRNA
About the family: Transfer RNA (tRNA) molecules are approximately 80 nucleotides in length. Their secondary structure includes four short double-helical elements and three loops (D, anti-codon, and T loops).
Source: RNAcentral